UCGUGAACCAGGUGGCCGAGGACA
RNAcentral lists this unclassified non-coding RNA (24 nucleotides) under Mus musculus (house mouse). RNAcentral's name for it is "oocyte_clustered_small_RNA1407". The record is from RNAcentral. Lineage: Eukaryota; Metazoa; Chordata; Mammalia; Rodentia; Muridae.